This 1168-nucleotide ribosomal RNA is filed under the name uncultured organism. RNAcentral's name for it is "bacterial SSU rRNA". It matches the Rfam family "Bacterial small subunit ribosomal RNA", at positions 27 to 1228 of the family's 1533-position model. The record is from RNAcentral.
GGAUGAACGCUAGCGGCGCGCUUAAUGCAUGCAAGUCGAACGAUGAGGCCCCUACGGGGGUACAUCAGUGGCAGACGGGUGAGUAACACGUAGGUAACCUGCCCUCGAGACGGGGAUAACGGCUGGAAACGGUCGCUAAGACCCGAUAUAGUCUGACCUUCGGGAGAAGGUGAGAGGAAAGGCUUCGGUGCUCGGGGAGGGGCCUGCGGCCCAUCAGCUAGUUGGAGAGGUAACGGCUCCCCAAGGCAAUGACGGGUAGGGGGUGUGAGAGCAUGGCCCCCCACACUGGGACUGAGACACGGCCCAGACUCCUACGGGAGGCAGCAGCAGGGAAUAUUGCGCAAUGGACGGAAGUCUGACGCAGCGACGCCGCGUGGAUGACGAAGGCCUUCGGGUUGUAAAAUCCUUUUCCGGGCGAUGAGGAAGGACACUAGCCUGGGAAUAAGCGUCGGCUAACUACGUGCCAGCAGCCGCGGUAAGACGUAGGACGCGAGCGUUAUCCGGAUUUACUGGGCGUAAAGCGCCUGCAGGCGGUCAGGUAAGUCGGUUGUGAAAGCCCCGUGCUCAACGCGGGGAGGCCAAGCGAUACUGCGUGACUUGAGGGCGGAAGAGGGGAGUGGAAUUCCCGGUGUAGCGGUAAAAUGCGCAGAUAUCGGGAGGAACACCAGUGGCGAAGGCGGCUCCCUGGACCGCACCCGACGCUCAGAGGCGAAAGCUAGGGGAGCGAACAGGAUUAGAGACCCUGGUAGUCCUAGCCCUAAACGCUGGAUGCUAGGUGUAGGCCUGAUGAGGCUCUGUGCCGGAGCGAACGCGAUAAGCAUCCCGCCUGGGAACUACGCCCGCAAGGCUAAAACUCAAACGAUUUGACGGGGACCCGCACAAGCAGCGGAGCGUGUGGUUUAAUUCGAUGCUACACGAAGCACCUCACGUGGGUUAGACAUGCUGGUGGUACCGAACCGAAAGGGGAGGGACCCUUCGGGGAGCCAACACAGGUGCUGCAUGCCUGUCGUCAGCUCGUCCCGUGAGUUGUCGGGUUGAGUCCCGUAACGAGCGCAACCCUUGCUCUUAGUUAUACGUGUCUAAGGGGACUGCCGGCGACAAGCCGGAGGAAGGUGGGGAUGACGUCAAGUCAGCAUGGCCUUGAUAUCCAGGGCUACACACACGCUAC